Molecule: ribosomal RNA, 465 nt
Filed under: Vreelandella stevensii
Lineage: Bacteria; Pseudomonadati; Pseudomonadota; Gammaproteobacteria; Oceanospirillales; Halomonadaceae
Description: partial 16S ribosomal RNA
Rfam family: Bacterial small subunit ribosomal RNA
Source: RNAcentral
CCUACGGGCGGCAGCAGUGGGGAAUAUUGGACAAUGGGGGCAACCCUGAUCCAGCCAUGCCGCGUGUGUGAAGAAGGCCCUCGGGUUGUAAAGCACUUUCAGUGAGGAAGAACGCCUGGUGGUUAAUACCCAUCAGGAAAGACAUCACUCACAGAAGAAGCACCGGCUAACUCCGUGCCAGCAGCCGCGGUAAUACGGAGGGUGCGAGCGUUAAUCGGAAUUACUGGGCGUAAAGCGCGCGUAGGUGGCUUGAUAAGCCGGUUGUGAAAGCCCCGGGCUCAACCUGGGAACGGCAUCCGGAACUGUCAAGCUAGAGCGCAGGAGAGGAAGGUAGAAUUCCCGGUGUAGCGGUGAAAUGCGUAGAGAUCGGGAGGAAUACCAGUGGCGAAGGCGGCCUUCUGGACUGACACUGACACUGAGGUGCGAAAGCGUGGGUAGCAAACAGGAUUAGAUACCCUUGUAGUC